Molecule: ribosomal RNA, 406 nt
Filed under: uncultured bacterium
Lineage: Bacteria
Description: partial 16S ribosomal RNA
Rfam family: Bacterial small subunit ribosomal RNA
Source: RNAcentral
AUUGAACGCUGGCGGCAGGCCUAACACAUGCAAGUCGAGCGAGCGGCGGACGGGUGAGUAAUGUAUGGGCAUUUGCCUGAUCGAGGGGGACAACUACUGGACACUGUGGCUAAUACCGCAUACUAUCGGCUGUACCCUAAUGGGAUUAGCUAGUAGGUGGGGUAAAGGCUCACCUAGGCGACGAUCUCUAGCUGGUCUGAGAGGAUGAUCAGACACACUGGGACUGAGACACGGCCAAGACUCCGACGGGAGGCAGCAGUGGGGAAUAUUGCACAAGGGGCGCAAGCCUGAUGCAGCCAUGCCGCGUGUAUGAAGAAGGCCUUAGGGUUGUAAAGUACUUUCAGCGGGGAGGCGUUACCCGCAGAAGAAGCACCGGCUAACUCCGUGCCAGCCGCCGCGGUAAUUC